Long non-coding RNA from Ornithorhynchus anatinus (platypus), 242 nucleotides. RefSeq lists it as uncharacterized. The transcript is spliced from 3 exons. NCBI's taxonomy places the organism in Eukaryota, Metazoa, Chordata, Mammalia, Monotremata, Ornithorhynchidae. The record is from RefSeq and is a predicted model, not a curated record.
AAUUUCAAAUGGAGCAGUUCUUGGAACGGAGCUUCAAGACCAUGAUGCGAAGAGGAAGAAAUGAAAACAGCAUCAGUUCCUGAAAUGGGAGGCGCCCGGCCCCGUUAAGAGACACAGAGAAGAUCGAACUAACAUCUACUGAACCUUAAAAGAAAGAUUGUUUUUCAAAAUCCAAAUUGUCUUCCAAAACCAACAUUGCCAUAAAGAAGCAGACGAGGUAACCGAGGCCCAGAGAAGUGAAG